RNAcentral lists this ribosomal RNA (468 nucleotides) under uncultured bacterium. Its description in RNAcentral is "partial 16S ribosomal RNA". It matches the Rfam family "Bacterial small subunit ribosomal RNA", at positions 28 to 507 of the family's 1533-position model. The record is from RNAcentral.
GACGAACGCUGGCGGCGUGCUUAACACAUGCAAGUCGAACGGAAAGGCCCUGCUUUUGUGGGGUGCUCGAGUGGCGAACGGGUGAGUAACACGUGAGUAACCUGCCCUUGACUUUGGGAUAACUUCAGGAAACUGGGGCUAAUACCGGAUAGGAGCUCCUGAUGCAUGGUGGGGGUUGGAAAGUGUCGGCGGUUGGGGAUGGACUCGCGGCUUAUCAGCUUGUUGGUGGGGUAGUGGCUUACCAAGGCUUUGACGGGUAGCCGGCCUGAGAGGGUGACCGGCCACAUUGGGACUGAGAUACGGCCCAGACUCCUACGGGAGGCAGCAGUGGGGAAUAUUGCACAAUGGGCGGAAGCCUGAUGCAGCAACGCCGCGUGCGGGAUGACGGCCUUCGGGUUGUAAACCGCUUUCGCCUGUGACGAAGCGUGAGUGACGGUAAUGGGUAAAGAAGCACCGGCUAACUACGUG